GUCUCUAUUCGCAUUUACAGUGUGCCUCACUUUAAUGGAAUUCAGACACAGACAGGUACCAUAGUCGACAGCAGCUGAUAUGGAGAACACCUUGCAGACAUCCCCAACUUUGCAUUGGAGAUGGAUUCAUAGGAUUCAGAGGGCCCCUUCUUUGCCCAUUUUUGAGGAUAAAAAAACAAAAGAAGCAGCAGCUUACUCUGAGGUGACUUCUGCCAAUGAAAAUUUGAUAGAUCCUACCUUUAAAAGAAGAAGAAAAGUUAAAAAAAACAAAGGAUGGAUAAAGACCUGGACUCUUCCCUGCAUUACAGAGAAAGAAAAGCAGAGGAAACAAAAAAUAUAUUUAAGUGGUCUAAAUUUCAAAUACCAGUACUGAACACGCUAAACAGUCCCAGCUCUCAGGCUCUGAAGAGGUGCUCUGCUCCAAUCUUUUGGUCAUCGUGGUAGACCAAUGCUGGACUCUCUCCAGGAACGAGAAAGUUGAUUCAUGAGAAAAUGCCAAGAAGAAACAAUUUCCAGAGAUUCUGAAGAGCUGAAGACAUCAGCAUCCAAAUCUGGAUACAGAACUGGGACACCGUUGUAAUAAGGAGCAGUGCUAUUGUCUACCCCAUGGUUUUUACCAUUUUUUUGCUUAAUAUUCUUGCUAAUACUAAAGACAUCCACAAUUCUAUAUAUCUCCCAAGCUGUGUUGCAAAGACAUAGACAACAGAUACAUGCUGUGAUCUGCAGCAAGUAAAGAUCAAAAUGCUAAUUUGGUGUGGUUUUUAGUAGAUUGCUGAUACAAAAUACAUUUCUGUCCAUGAAGAAUUACAGUCUAUAUUCUAAUUCCAAAUAAAGGUUUAGGAUUAGUGAUCUUAGAGUAACAUGAAACUGGAAUAAUGAAACACCAGUCUGUGCUGUAAGAUGCUCUUGAGAAUUCAAGCACAGUACUUGUAAUUUCAGGGAAUAAUUAUUUCUCUGAUAAGAUCUUCCAUGUAAGAAACUUUGCAUGUUUUGUGUAUUGGUUUAUUGUACAAACAAACGGUUUUCAUUUUAUUCAUUAAUUAUAGAGAAAUGCAGACUGAAAUAUAGUUGCAUUUUGCCACAUAGUUCGUAAACAUCCUACCUCAUAUGCCUCAUAGUUAAAUAAUAACAAAGGCAGCAGAAAGAAGAAUUUAAUUGCAGAUAGAUGCAUUCCCUAGAUUCAGCCAGGCAAGUAAGUUCUGGAAACCUUUGGAAGAUAAGGACUACCUGAAAAAAAGAAACUUCGCAGCGAUUCUGUGAACUCACAAAUCAUUUCAUGUAUAAAUCUAGAAGUUGCAAUAGGUUCGUUUACACAUAAGUCAAGCAGCUGAAGCUAAGGAGAGCAGCAGAUGGUAAAAUAUUAUCCAUCAGUUCUUCUUACUGUCAUAUUUUUGUAGCCCCUGGGGUCUGAAACUCAGGUGAGCAAGAACUCUUUUCCUCCAUCUACUGAUGAACUGGAGUACGGGACAUAGUUAAUUUUCACAGAUAAUAUUUAUGACAAGAUGGAUGCUUUUGAAGUUUUGUUUACAGCUCAUUCAAGAAUAUGAAUAAAAGGAAAACCUACUUUCCUUAUCUGAAAAGCACUUCUGAGGAGAAAAGACCUGGCUCUUGUGUCACUGGUUUGUAUAAAACAGGAGUUCUGGCACGAGAUAGACAAAGAAUAAAAGAGUUUAGUUUUCAGCCUAUUCUUUCUAUAAUUCAAUUAAUUGAUCUUCAUCAUAGUAAUAUUUUCAGCUGCCUGAAAAUUCUGAAAAUGCCUGUUUUGGUUGCCUGUAAAUUCUAAUGAAUAUCUAAUCAGAAAAGAACACAGGAGUACAAAGCUGUUCUGGAUUUGAAGAUGCAACAAGGAGGUGAAAAGGGAUUUUUAUUCCCAACCAGAGAAACUUAAACUACUGUGGAAGAGGUAACAGCCUGGAGAUAAUGACCUCGCACUGCACUUAAAUGGGACUGCAGACCAGACAACAGCCAUCCUAAAGAAGGACAGAGAAGGAAUGGAGUAAAGAGAGGGCACUGUCCAAAACAGGACAAUAUCACAAGGGCAUUAUGACAGGAGAUGGCAGGAUGGCUGCUCGGAGAGUUCCUUUCCAUUCCAGAUGGAGUUCAUCCUACUCAAGUGUUCAUCUAUUCUCAGACUUCAGAGGAAAGACAUGACAGGGGGGUGGAACUAGAUGAUUUUUAAGGAUCUUCAAGGCCCUCUCCAUCCUAAGCCAUUCUAUGAUUCUAUGAUCACCAGGGCAAAUAUUUUCUGUUGAUGUAAGCAGGGGAGAUUGCCUCAUUUCCUCAAGUUUGUGAGGAAUGUCUCAAGCACACGUUCAUUAAUUUUAAGUGGAAUCCUGUAAUUUGACUUGAAAUCUGGCUUUCUUGAUCCCAGCAACUUCUCUCAGAAAAAGACACUUUAUAAAUAUGUCAUCACCCUUCAUUACUGAGAUGCCCAGUAUGUAAUGCUGGAUUGUGGAUUGUGAAG
RNAcentral lists this long non-coding RNA (2464 nucleotides) under Gallus gallus (chicken). RNAcentral describes it as "lncRNA (ENSGALG00010010372.1)". The record is from RNAcentral. Lineage: Eukaryota; Metazoa; Chordata; Aves; Galliformes; Phasianidae.